This 433-nucleotide ribosomal RNA is filed under the name uncultured bacterium. Its description in RNAcentral is "partial 16S ribosomal RNA". It matches the Rfam family "Bacterial small subunit ribosomal RNA", at positions 29 to 507 of the family's 1533-position model. The record is from RNAcentral.
GCGAACGCUGGCGGCAGGCCUAACACAUGCAAGUCGAACGAACCUUUCGGGGUUAGUGGCGGACGGGUGAGUAACACGUGGGAACGUGCCUUUAGGUUCGGAAUAACUCAGGGAAACUUGUGCUAAUACCGAAUGUGCCCUUCUGGGGAAAGAUUUAUCGCCUUUAGAGCGGCCCGCGUCUGAUUAGCUAGUUGGUUGAGGUAAUGGCUCACCAAGGCGACGAUCAGUAGCUGGUCUGAGAGGAUGAUCAGCCACAUUGGGACUGAGACACGGCCCAAACUCCUACGGGAGGCAGCAGUGGGGAAUCUUGCGCAAUGGGCGAAAGCCUGACGCAGCCAUGCCGCGUGAAUGAUGAAGGUCUUAGGAUUGUAAAAUUCUUUCACCGGGGACGAUAAUGACGGUACCCGGAGAAGAAGCCCCGGCUAACUUCGUG